Molecule: long non-coding RNA, 810 nt
Organism: Oncorhynchus keta (chum salmon)
Lineage: Eukaryota; Metazoa; Chordata; Actinopteri; Salmoniformes; Salmonidae
Exons: 3
Source: RefSeq, a predicted model, not a curated record
AGAAAGAGAGGUAGAGAGAAAGAGAGAGGUAGAGAGAAAGAGAGAGGUAGAGAGAAAGAGAGAGGUAGAGAGAAAGAGAGAGGUAGAGAGAAAGAGAGAGGUAGAGAGAAAGAGAGAGGUAGAGAGAAAGAGAGAGGUAGAGAGAAAGAGAGAGGUAGAGAGAAAGAGAGAGGUAGAGGUAGAAAGAGAGGUAGAGAGUGAGAGGUAGAAAGAGAGGUAGAGAGAGAGAGGGGUAGAUAGAAAGAGAGAGAGAGAAUGAGAGAGGUAGAGAGAAGGCUCAUCCUGUAAUAUACAAGGUCUGAGGUCAUCUGCCUUUGGCCUAAAGAGCAGGAACCUGGACUUCACCAAAGAAAUCGGAAAUACAGACAUUGUCAUCCUAUAAGAAACAUGGUAUGGAGGAGAUGGACCCACUGGUUGCCCUCUAGGUUACAGCGAGCUGGUCCCAUCCACCAAACUACCAGGUGGGUGGUAUAGAGGAGAUGGACCCACUGGUUGCCCUCUAGGUUACAGAGAGCUGGUAGUCCAAUCCACCAAACUACCAGGUGGGUGGUAUAGAGGAGAUGGACCCACUGGUUGCCCUCUAGGUUACAGAGAGCUGGUCCCAUCCACCAAACUACCAGGUGGGUGGUAUAGAGGAGAUGGACCCACUGGUUGCCCUCUAGGUUACAGAGAGCUGGUCCCAUCCACCAAACUACCAGGUGGGUGGUAUAGAGGAGAUGGACCCACUGGUUGUCCUCUAGGUUACAGAGAGCUGGUAGUCCCAUCCACCACACUACCAGGUGGGUGGUAUAGAGGAAAUGGACCCACUGG